CAAUAUUUGCCAUCUGUCGGGGUCACCACUGGACCCCCAUUCUACCUAUCUCUCCCCUCAUUAUUCCUCCAAGACGGCCUACGGAAUGGCUGUCCCUUAUAUUUUUUUGUUGCUUUUAUUGAUUUAUUGCUAAAUUUCUCCACGGUUCUUCAAAAUGAUUGGUCUUCAAAAUAUCGUCAUUAAAAAACCAGGCAAAACAGCGCGAAACGAAAAAAUAUUGAAAAUUGAGUGAGCCUCCAAGAGGAAAAAAAUUGGAAAUACUCACCAGACCCAAAAACUCUGGACGAAAUGGUCAGAAAAAAGCAGUUCGUAUACAACGCCCUGAGAUAAAAACAGAGAGCAACAAAACAUAGAAGAGGAUAUCAUUAUCGCCGCAAUUUCCAACCUUUUAGAAGACCAAAAAAUAAUCUUGAUCUGGAUCUUAUCACCACGCUACGAACGGCCACGAGAAAAAAUCUGUUGUAUUGCACUUCUGAGUAGAUUAUAAAUUCGAUAAUUCAAUUGUGACUCACUUUUUUUAUUUAAAAAAAUCUGUUUCAACCAUUUUUUAAAUAAAAGCAUUUUCGAU
Long non-coding RNA from Caenorhabditis elegans, 568 nucleotides. Ensembl annotates it as ncRNA. Its record names the gene linc-16. The record is from Ensembl. Lineage: Eukaryota; Metazoa; Nematoda; Chromadorea; Rhabditida; Rhabditidae.